UACGGAGGGUGCUAGCGUUGUUCGGAAUUACUGGGCGUAAAGGGCGCGUAGGCGGCCGUUUGCGUCGGAUGUGAAAGCCCGGGGCUCAACCUCGGAACGGCAUUCGAUACGGGACGGCUGGAGACCGGGAGAGGAGAGUGGAAUAGCCAGUGUAGAGGUGAAAUUCGUAGAUAUUGGCUGGAACACCGGUGGCGAAAGCGGCUCUCUGGCCCGGUUCUGACGCUGAGGCGCGAAAGCGUGGGGAGCAAACAGG
RNAcentral lists this ribosomal RNA (253 nucleotides) under uncultured bacterium. RNAcentral's name for it is "partial 16S ribosomal RNA". It matches the Rfam family "Bacterial small subunit ribosomal RNA", at positions 524 to 776 of the family's 1533-position model. RNAcentral also lists the same sequence under 2 other names. The record is from RNAcentral.